UGCUUCCAUUCCUUCCUACCUGCUCAGUAGAUUCUAGGUCAGCUAAAUCUAGAAAGAAGCAAGAUAUGUUUUCCCACUGCUAUAGAAACAUUCAGCAUUGAGAUUGCUGGAGGGAAGAUUGAAACUGGAGAUGAGGCAUAAUGAACUUUUUUCCUUCAACCCAUAAAGGCUACCUUCAACAUCUGAUAAUACCUGUGAAGAGGACAAUUGUGAAGAGGGUGAACUGGUACAGCUCUACCUCGCAGAGUAUGUGUUUGUCACCACCCCCAUUGCCCUCCAAGACCCCGAAAGCACAGGCAGUUUUUGUUGAUUUUCAGUAUUACCAGCAACUUUGAAUUUUAGACAAACUGAUAAGAAGUCCAA
This 363-nucleotide long non-coding RNA is filed under the name Chinchilla lanigera (long-tailed chinchilla). RNAcentral's name for it is "lncRNA (ENSCLAG00000026947.1)". Lineage: Eukaryota; Metazoa; Chordata; Mammalia; Rodentia; Chinchillidae. The record is from RNAcentral.